CUGGGCGUAAGCGUGCGCAGGCGGUUUGUUAAGACCGAUGUGAAAUCCCCGGGCUCAACCUGGGAACUGCAUUGGUGACUGGCAAGCUAGAGUAUGGCAGAGGGGGGUAGAAUUCCACGUGUAGCAGUGAAAUGCGUAGAGAUGUGGAGGAAUACCGAUGGCGAAGGCAGCCCCCUGGGCCAAUACUGACGCUCAUGCACGAAAGCGUGGGGAGCAAACAGGAUUAGAAACCCCGG
RNAcentral lists this ribosomal RNA (236 nucleotides) under bacterium. RNAcentral describes it as "partial 16S ribosomal RNA". It matches the Rfam family "Bacterial small subunit ribosomal RNA", at positions 554 to 790 of the family's 1533-position model. The record is from RNAcentral.